GGAGGCAUGGCUCAGCUGGGAGAGCAUCUGCCUUACAAGCAGAGGGUCACUGGUUCGAGCCCAGUUGUCUCCACCA
RNAcentral lists this transfer RNA (76 nucleotides) under Clostridiaceae bacterium. RNAcentral's name for it is "tRNA-Val". It matches the Rfam family "tRNA". Rfam says of the family: Transfer RNA (tRNA) molecules are approximately 80 nucleotides in length. Their secondary structure includes four short double-helical elements and three loops (D, anti-codon, and T loops). The record is from RNAcentral. Lineage: Bacteria; Bacillati; Bacillota; Clostridia; Eubacteriales; Clostridiaceae.